CACGUAGGGUGCGAGCGUUGUCCGGAAUUAUUGGGCGUAAAGAGCUCGUAGGCGGUGUGUCGCGUCGGCCGUGAAAACCUGCAGCUUAACUGUGGGCGUGCGGUCGAUACGGGCAUCACUGGAGUUCGGCAGGGGAGACUGGAAUUCCUGGUGUAGCGGUGAAAUGCGCAGAUAUCAGGAGGAACACCGGUGGCGAAGGCGGGUCUCUGGGCCGAUACUGACGCUGAGGCGCGAAAGCUAGGGUAGCAAACGGG
Molecule: ribosomal RNA, 254 nt
Filed under: uncultured bacterium
Lineage: Bacteria
Description: partial 16S ribosomal RNA
Rfam family: Bacterial small subunit ribosomal RNA
Source: RNAcentral